Molecule: small RNA, 173 nt
Filed under: Oryza sativa Japonica Group (Japanese rice)
Lineage: Eukaryota; Viridiplantae; Streptophyta; Magnoliopsida; Poales; Poaceae
Description: sRNA Os10g0375501
Source: RNAcentral
AAGUAUCCUACUUUGAGGCCUGUUUGGUGGUUCUGGUGCAAUACGGAAACUUUUGUAGUUUUUAAGUAUUUCGCAAAUUUCAGCAGGACGCAACCAUCGUUGUUGAGCCUCCUUCAGUAUCUGCGCAAUAUCUCUGCGGCACGACCGCGAAGCGCCGCGCGUCCGCCGCCGCC